AGCCACUGAAGGAAGAAGAAUUGCUACUUGAUGCCCUUAUUACUAAUUGAUGAUUAUCUUUUGAAAUUAUGAUGUUCUUUCAAAACCACCACCAACCUGCAUAUGCAACCACUCCGGUGAUGUACCACGGCUGUAAUCCCUUGUGGCUUGUGAACCAAAUGCCAUGCCAGUAGUAUCAUAUGUUUGUUGGCCAAAGUCUUUAGAAGGAAAAGCUCCAAUUACAGGAUUCAUUCUUGAAUUUACUGCUUCAAGCUUCAUAGAUAGGAACUCAACCUGACGUUG
RNAcentral lists this unclassified non-coding RNA (282 nucleotides) under Hevea brasiliensis (rubber tree). The record is from RNAcentral. Lineage: Eukaryota; Viridiplantae; Streptophyta; Magnoliopsida; Malpighiales; Euphorbiaceae.